Molecule: ribosomal RNA, 1288 nt
Filed under: bacterium
Lineage: Bacteria
Description: bacterial SSU rRNA
Rfam family: Bacterial small subunit ribosomal RNA
Source: RNAcentral
AUUGACAUGCAAGUCGAGCGGCAGCACGGGUACUUGUACCUGGUGGCGAGCGGCGGAGGGUGAGUAAUGCCUAGGAAUCUGCCUAGUAGGGGGGAUAACGUCCGGAAACGGGCGCUAAUACCCAUACGUCCUACGGGAGAAAGUGGGGGAUCUCGGACCUCACGCUAUUAGAUGAGCUAGGUCGGAUUAGCUAGUUGGUGAGGUAUGGCUCACCAAGGCGACGAUCCGUAACUGUCUGAGAGGAUGAUCAGUCACACUGGAACUGAGACCGGUCCAGACUCCUACGGGAGGCAGCAGUGGGGAAAUUGGACAAUGGGCGAAAGCCUGACAGCCAUGCCGCGUGUGUGAAGAAGGUCUUCGAUUUAAGUUGGGAGGAAGGGCAGUUACCUAAUACGUGAUUGUUUUGACGUUACCGACAGAAUAAGCACCGGCUAACUCUGUGCCAGCAAAUACAGAGGGUGCAAGCGUUAAUCGGAAUUACUGGGCGUAAAGCGCGCGUAGGUGGAUGUGAAAGCACCUGGGAACUGCAUCCAAAACUGGCAAGCUAGAGUAUGGUAGAGGAUUUCCUGUGUAGCGGUGAAAUGCGUAGAUAUAGGAAGGAACACCAGUGGCGAAGGCGACCACCUACUGACACUGAGGUGCGAAAGCGUGGAGGAUUAGAUACCCUGGUAGUCCACGCCGUAAACGAUGUCAACUAGCCGUUGGGAGCCUUGAGCUCUUAGUGGCGCAGCUAACGCAUUACCGCCUGGGGAGUACGGCCGCAAGGUUAAAAAUGAAUUGACGGCCGCACAAGCGGUGGAGCAUGUGGUUUAAUUCGAAGCAACGCGAAGAACCUUACCAGGCCUUGACAUCCAAUGAACUUUCUAGAGAUAGAUUGGUGCCUUCGGGAACAUUGAGACAGGUGCUGCAUGGCUGUCGUCAGCUCGUGUCGUGAGAUGUUGGGUUAAGUCCCGUAACGAGCGCAACCCUUGUCACGUUAUGGUGGGCACUCUAAGGAGACUGCCGGUGACAAACCGGAGGAAUGACGUCAAGUCAUCAUGGCCCUUACGGCCUGGGCUACACACGUGCUACAAUAAGGGUUGCCAAGCCGCGAGGUGGAGCUAAUCCCAUAAAACCGAUCGUAGUCCAACUCGACUGCGUGAAGUCGGAAUCGCUAGUAAUCGCGAAUCAGAAUGUCGCGGGCCUUGUACACACCGCCCGUCACACCAUGGGAGUGGGUUGCACCAGAACCUUCGGGAGGACGGUUACCACGGUGUGAUUCAUGACUGGGGUGAAGUCGUAACAAGGU